This 477-nucleotide ribosomal RNA is filed under the name Triticum aestivum (bread wheat). RNAcentral's name for it is "partial small subunit ribosomal RNA". The record is from RNAcentral. Lineage: Eukaryota; Viridiplantae; Streptophyta; Magnoliopsida; Poales; Poaceae.
AUGGCGUUGUCACUCAUCACCAGAUUGCUAACCCUGGCUCUGGGGUACGCGUACCCGGCGUACGCUUGCUACAAGAUGCUGGAACUGCACCCGCCGCAGAUUGAGCAAUUGCUUUUCUGGUGCCAGUACUGGAUUCUGAUGGCGACGCUGACGGUCGUCGAGAGGUUCGCGGACUGGAUAGUGUCGUGGCUGCCGAUGUACGGCGAGGCGAAGCUGCUGCUCGUCCUCUACCUCUGGCACCCCGGCACACGGGGUGCAGGGCACGUGUACGAUGGCCUCCUCCGUCCGCUGGUGGCGAGGCACGAGCACGACAUCGACCGGGGCCUGCUGGAGCUGAGGGCCAGGGCGAGGGACGUGACGGCGUCUCAACUCAAGGCGGCGGCUGCCGUCGCUCAGGCGUGGCUCGUCGAGGCUGCCCGGUGUGUUUCGUCGCAGCUGCAGGCCGCGAGAUCAGACCGGGCAUGCGCCGCUCAUUGA